AUAUGUCCUAAAAGUUAAUUAUUGACUGACAUAUUGUUCAUUCUAUGAUACAAAUUUAUACUUAAACUAUUGAUUUAAUCAAAAAAUAAUAAGUUUUUUUUUUAUUCAAGUGUUAUGUAUCCUUGAAUCAUUCUUGAAAUUGAUGUUACGAUACAUAUUCUCAAGUAUUAAGAAUUAGAGUCAUAUAUGAUCGAUUCCUAAAUUGUUUCUGGUCAUAUAAUAGUCAUGGAGACUGUGAUUCAUUCAGAUAGAUCAACGCACGGUUUGCUUCUUUCGAGAUAGAUGAGUUUCUAGUCUAUAGUGUAGAGACACUGAGCGGC
RNAcentral lists this long non-coding RNA (320 nucleotides) under Elaeis guineensis (African oil palm). Its description in RNAcentral is "long non-coding RNA (EGUI_LNC038821)". The record is from RNAcentral. Lineage: Eukaryota; Viridiplantae; Streptophyta; Magnoliopsida; Arecales; Arecaceae.